ACGGGAGGCAGCAGUGGGGAAUAUUGCACAAUGGGGGAAACCCUGAUGCAGCGACGCCGCGUGAGUGAAGAAGUUAUUCGUAAUGUAAAGCUCUAUCAGCAGGGAAGAAAAUGACGGUACCUGACUAAGAAGCCCCGGCUAACUACGUGCCAGCAGCCGCGGUAAUACGUAGGGGGCAAGCGUUAUCCGGAUUUACUGGGUGUAAAGGGAGCGUAGACGGCUUAGCAAGUCUGAUGUGAAAGGCAGGGGCUCAACUCCUGGACUGCAUUGGAAACUGUUAAGCUAGAGUGCCGGAGAGGUAAGCGGAAUUCCUAGUGUAGCGGUGAAAUGCGUAGAUAUUAGGAGGAACACCAGUGGCGAAGGCGGCUUUCUGGACUGUAACUGACACUGAGGCACGAAAGCGUGGGGAGCAAACAGGAUUAGAUACCCUGGUA
RNAcentral lists this ribosomal RNA (434 nucleotides) under uncultured Lachnospiraceae bacterium. RNAcentral describes it as "bacterial SSU rRNA". It matches the Rfam family "Bacterial small subunit ribosomal RNA", at positions 341 to 792 of the family's 1533-position model. The record is from RNAcentral. Lineage: Bacteria; Bacillati; Bacillota; Clostridia; Lachnospirales; Lachnospiraceae.